RNAcentral lists this ribosomal RNA (274 nucleotides) under uncultured bacterium. RNAcentral's name for it is "partial 16S ribosomal RNA". It matches the Rfam family "Bacterial small subunit ribosomal RNA", at positions 523 to 796 of the family's 1533-position model. The record is from RNAcentral.
AUACGGAGGGUGCAAGCGUUGUCCGGAUUUAUUGGGUUUAAAGGGUGUGUAGGCGGUGUAUUAAGUCAGUGGUGAAAGCCUGCGGCUCAACCGUAGAACUGCCAUUGAUACUGACACACUUGAGUUUGGUUGAGGUAGGCGGAAUUUAUGGUGUAGCGGUGAAAUGCAUAGAUACCAUAAAGAACACCGAUAGCGAAGGCAGCUUACUAAGCCGAAACUGACGCUGAGGCACGAAAGCGUGGGGAGCGAACAGGAUUAGAAACCCUAGUAGUCC